Vicia faba (fava bean) is the source of this 354-nucleotide non-coding RNA. NCBI's taxonomy places the organism in Eukaryota, Viridiplantae, Streptophyta, Magnoliopsida, Fabales, Fabaceae. The record is from the annotation of a GenBank genome assembly.
AUGGAGUCAGAACAAGGAAGAAAUAGAAUAUUCAAGGUGAAUGUUAGAACUAGAGACUAUGAAUGUCUUAGUGCAACAAGUGUUGUCAAGGAGAGUGAGUUGUGGCACAUAAGAUUUGGUCAUCUAAAUUUCAGAAGCUUAGGGCAUUUGAAAUCAAAGAAGUUGGUACAUGGAAUUCCUACAAUCAAAAAGCCUGAGAAAUCAUGCAAGGUGUACAUGGAAGGGAAGCAACCAAGAUUACCAUUUACAUCAAAAGUAUCUCCAAGAGCAAAGUAUGCCUUACGAGUAGUGCAUUCUGAUGUGUGUGGUCCAUUUCUAGUAGCAUCAGUUGGAGGGAAUAAAUACUUUGUGUCA